GCCUACGGGGGGCAGCAGUAGGGAAUCUUCCCCAAUGGACGAAAGUCUGAUGGAGCAACGCCGCGUGAGUGAAGAAGGGUUUCGGCUCGUAAAGCUCUGUUGGUAGUGAAGAAAGAUAGAGGUAGUAACUGGCCUUUAUUUGACGGUAAUUACUUAGAAAGUCACGGCUAACUACGUGCCAGCAGCCGCGGUAAUACGUAGGUGGCAAGCGUUGUCCGGAUUUAUUGGGCGUAAAGCGAGUGCAGGCUGGUCAAUAA
Molecule: ribosomal RNA, 257 nt
Filed under: uncultured bacterium
Lineage: Bacteria
Description: partial 16S ribosomal RNA
Rfam family: Bacterial small subunit ribosomal RNA
Source: RNAcentral